This 106-nucleotide ribosomal RNA is filed under the name Oscillospiraceae bacterium. Lineage: Bacteria; Bacillati; Bacillota; Clostridia; Eubacteriales; Oscillospiraceae. The record is from RNAcentral.
UGACGGUGGGGGUACACCCGUUCCCAUCCCGAACACGGCAGUUAAGCCCACUCGUGCCGACAAUACUUGGCUGGAAGCGGCCCGGAACGAUAGGUAGGUGCCAACA